UACACAAUGGAGUACAAGGACUGAAUGAAC
RNAcentral lists this non-coding RNA (30 nucleotides) under Rattus norvegicus (Norway rat). The record is from RNAcentral. Lineage: Eukaryota; Metazoa; Chordata; Mammalia; Rodentia; Muridae.